GAUGAACGCUGGCGGCGUGCCUAAUACAUGCAAGUCGAGCGAACGGACGAGAAGCUUGCUUCUCUGAUGUUAGCGGCGGACGGGUGAGUAACACGUGGAUAACCUACCUAUAAGACUGGGAUAACUUCGGGAAACCGGAGCUAAUACCGGAUAAUAUUUUGAACCGCAUGGUUCAAAAGUGAAAGACGGUCUUGCUGUCACUUAUAGAUGGAUCCGCGCUGCAUUAGCUAGUUGGUAAGGUAACGGCUUACCAAGGCAACGAUGCAUAGCCGACCUGAGAGGGCGAUCGGCCACACUGGAACUGAGACACGGUCCAGACUCCUACGGGAGGCAGCAGUAGGGAAUCUUCCGCAAUGGGCGAAAGCCUGACGGAGCAACGCCGCGUGAGUGAUGAAGGUCUUCGGAUCGUAAAGCUCUGUUAUUAGGGAAGAACAUAUGUGUAAGUAACUGUGCACAUCUUGACGGUACCUAAUCAGAAAGCCACGGCUAACUACGUG
This 497-nucleotide ribosomal RNA is filed under the name uncultured bacterium. RNAcentral describes it as "partial 16S ribosomal RNA". It matches the Rfam family "Bacterial small subunit ribosomal RNA", at positions 28 to 507 of the family's 1533-position model. The record is from RNAcentral.